UUGCUGUGAUGUUUUAAAAUCAACACAUUAUUCUUACUGUAAAGUGAAGAAACAUUAAAAAAAUCACUGAGCAAA
Molecule: small nucleolar RNA, 75 nt
Filed under: Astyanax mexicanus (Mexican tetra)
Lineage: Eukaryota; Metazoa; Chordata; Actinopteri; Characiformes; Acestrorhamphidae
Description: Small nucleolar RNA SNORD63
Rfam family: Small nucleolar RNA SNORD63
About the family: snoRNA U63 is found in both humans and mice.
Source: Rfam by way of RNAcentral